ACAGGGAUUGCCCUAGUAACGGCGAGUGAAGCGGCAACAGCUCAAAUUUGAAAUCUGGCGCAAGCCCGAGUUGUAAUUUGUAGAGGAUGCUUCGGCGUCGGCCCCGGUCUAAGUUCCUUGGAACAGGACGUCCUAGAGGGUGAGAACCCCGUCUUCGAUCGGGUCGCCGUCGCCAUGUGAAGCUCCUUCGACGAGUCGAGUUGUUUGGGAAUGCAGCUCUAAGCGGGAGGUAAAUUUCUUCUAAAGCUAAAUAACGGCCAGAGACCGAUAGCGCACAAGUAGAGUGAUCGAAAGAUGAAAAGCACUUUGGAAAGAGAGUUAAAAAGUACGUGAAAUUGUUGAAAGGGAAGCUCAAGCUGCCAGACUUGGCCGCGCCUCUUCGGUGGCGCGGGCAGGCCAGCAUCAGUUCGGGCCGCCUGAUAAAGACCUUUGGAAUGUAGCUCCCUCGGGAGUGUUAUAGCCUUGGGUGUAAUGGGGUGAGCCUGGACUGAGGAUCGCGUUCGCUAGGAUGCUGGCGUAAUGGCAGUUUGCGACCCGUCUUGAAACACGGACCAAGGAGUCUAACAUCUGUGCGAGUGUUUGGGUGUAAAACCCAUGCGCGUAAUGAAAGUGAACGGAGGUGGGAAGCGCAAGCUGCACCAUCGACCGAUCCUGAUGUCUUCGGAUGGAUUUGAGUAAGAGCAUAGCUGUUGGGACCCGAAAGAUGGUGAACUAUGCCUGAAUAGGGUGAAGCCAGAGGAAACUCUGGUGGAGGCUCGCAGCGGUUCUGACGUGCAAAUCGAUCGUCAAAUUUGGGUAUAGGGGCGAAAGACUAAUCGAACCAUCUAGUAGCUGGUUCCAGCCGAAGUUUCCCUCAGGAUAGCAGUAACGUUUUCAGUUUUAUGAGGUAAAGCGAAUGAUUAGAGGCCUUGGGAUGAAACAUCCUUAACCUAUUCUCAAACUUUAAAUAUGUAA
Molecule: ribosomal RNA, 954 nt
Filed under: uncultured fungus
Lineage: Eukaryota; Fungi
Description: LSU rRNA
Rfam family: Eukaryotic large subunit ribosomal RNA
Source: RNAcentral